AUUGAACGCUGGCGGCAUGCCUUACACAUGCAAGUCGAACGGCAGCACGGGAGCAAUCCUGGUGGCGAGUGGCGAACGGGUGAGUAAUGUAUCGGAACGUGCCCAGUCGUGGGGGAUAACGUAGCGAAAGCUACGCUAAUACCGCAUACGAUCUAUGGAUGAAAGCGGGGGAUCGCAAGACCUCGCGCGAUUGGAGCGGCCGAUAUCAGAUUAGGUAGUUGGUGGGGUAAAGGCACACCAAGCCGACGAUCCGUAGCUGGUCUGAGAGGACGACCAGCCACACUGGGACUGAGACACGGCCCAGACUCCUACGGGAGGCAGCAGUGGGGAAUUUUGGACAAUGGGCGCAAGCCUGAUCCAGCAAUGCCGCGUGCAGGAUGAAGGCCUUCGGGUUGUAAACUGCUUUUGUACGGAACGAAACGGCGAGCUCUAAUACAGUUUGCUAAUGACGGUACCGUAAGAAUAAGCACCGGCUAACUACGUGCCAGCCGCCGCUGUAA
RNAcentral lists this ribosomal RNA (500 nucleotides) under uncultured bacterium. RNAcentral describes it as "partial 16S ribosomal RNA". It matches the Rfam family "Bacterial small subunit ribosomal RNA", at positions 30 to 523 of the family's 1533-position model. The record is from RNAcentral.